This 238-nucleotide ribosomal RNA is filed under the name uncultured bacterium. RNAcentral's name for it is "partial 16S ribosomal RNA". It matches the Rfam family "Bacterial small subunit ribosomal RNA", at positions 96 to 334 of the family's 1533-position model. The record is from RNAcentral.
CGGCGGACGGGUGAGUAACGCGUGGGUAACCUGCCUCAUACAGGGGGAUAACAGUUAGAAAUGACUGCUAAUACCGCAUAAGACCACGGUACCGCAUGGUACGGUGUGAAAAACUCCGGUGGUAUGAGAUGGACCCGCGUCUGAUUAGCUGGUUGGUGAGGUAACGGCCCACCAAGGCGACGAUCAGUAGCCGACCUGAGAGGGUGACCGGCCACAUUGGGACUGAGACACGGCCCAG